CCUACGGGAGUCAGCAGUAGGGAAUCUUCCACAAUGGGCGAAAGCCUGAUGGAGCAACGCCGCGUGGGUGACGAAGGUCUUCGGAUCGUAAAACCCUGUUGUUAGAGAAGAAAGUGCGUGAGAGUAACUGUUCACGUUUCGACGGUAUCUAUCCAGAAAGCCACGGCUAACUACGUGCCAGCCGCCGCUGUCAUACGUAGGGGGCCAGGGUUAUCCGGAUUUUUUUGGCGUAAAGGGAACGCAGGCGGUCUUUUAAGUCUGAUGGGAAAGCCUUCGGCUUAACCGGAGUAGUGCAUUGGAAACUGGGAGACUUGAGUGCAGAAGAGGAGAGUGGAACUCCAUGUGUAGCGGUGAAAUGCGUAGAUAUAUGGAAGAACACCAGUGGCGAAAGCGGCUCUCUGGUCUGUAACUGACGCUGAGGUUCGAAAGCGUGGGUAGCAAACAGGAUUAGAUACCCUAGUAGUC
RNAcentral lists this ribosomal RNA (465 nucleotides) under uncultured bacterium. RNAcentral describes it as "partial 16S ribosomal RNA". It matches the Rfam family "Bacterial small subunit ribosomal RNA", at positions 338 to 795 of the family's 1533-position model. The record is from RNAcentral.